Molecule: ribosomal RNA, 116 nt
Organism: Helicobacter bizzozeronii CIII-1
Lineage: Bacteria; Pseudomonadati; Campylobacterota; Epsilonproteobacteria; Campylobacterales; Helicobacteraceae
Source: Rfam
CCCCGUGUCCCUAGUGGAGAGGAAAUACCCAGCCCCAUCCCGAACCUGGAAGUCAAGCUCUCUAACGCCGAUGAUACUGCCCUUUGCAAGGAUGGGAAAGUAGGGUGAUGCGGGGG